Non-coding RNA from Brassica napus (rape), 1963 nucleotides. NCBI's taxonomy places the organism in Eukaryota, Viridiplantae, Streptophyta, Magnoliopsida, Brassicales, Brassicaceae. The record is from Rfam.
CGACCCCAGGUCAGGCGGGAUCACCCGCUGAGUUUAAGCAUAUCAAUAAGCGGAGGGAAAUAAACUAACAAGGAUUCCCUUAGUAACGGCGAGCGAACCGGGAAGAGCCCAACUUGAAAAUCGGACGUCUUUGGCGUUCGAAUUGUAGUCUGGAGAAGCGUCCUCAGCGACGGACCGGGCUCAAGUUCCCUGGAAAGGGGCACCAGAGAGGGUGAGAGCCCCGUUGUGCCCGGACACUGUCGCACCACGAGGCAUUGUCUAUGAGUCGGGUUGUUUGGGAAAGCAGCCCCAAUCGGGCGGUAAAUUCCGUUCAAGGCUAAAUAUGGGCGAGAGACCGAUAGCGAACAAGUACCGCGAGGUAAAGAUGAAAAGGACUUUGAAAAGAGAGUCAAAGAGUGCUUGAAAUUGUCGGGAGGGAAGCGGAUGGGGGCCGGCGAUUCGUCCCGGUCGGAUGCGGAACGGAGCAAUUUAGUCUGCCGAUCAAUUCGGCCCGUGGACCGACAUGGAUUAAGGUGGUGACCUAAGCCUGGGCUUUUGUUACGCCCGCGGCGAUGUCGCUGCCUUAAUCAUGGUCUGCAGCACGCGCCUCCCGGCGUGGCUCGGCAUCUGCAUGCUCAGGGCGUCGGCCUGUGGGAUCCCCAUUCGACCCGUCUUGAAACACGGACCAAGGAGUCUGACAUGUGUGCGAGUCAACGGGUGAGUAAACCCAUAAGGGGCAAGGAAGCUGAUUGGCUGGAUCCCUCACAGGUGCACAGCCGACCGAUCUUGAUCUUCUGAGAAGGGUUCGAGUGUGAGCAUGCUUGUCGGGACUCGAAAGAUGGUGAACUAUGCCUGAGCGGGGCGAAGCCAGAGGAAACUCUGCUGGAGGCCCGUAGCGAUACUAACGUGCAAAUCAUUCAUCUGACUUGGGUAUAGGGGCAAAAGACUAAUCGAACCAUCUCUACCGAUACCUAUUUCAUCAUCUUCAGACUCCUCGCCGCCAUCUACUCCGGCACCACUUCCGACUCCUAGCUUUGAGGCUACACCUUCAGGCUCUAGCUUUGAGACUGACCCGUCUGAAAGGUCAUAUGAUCAGACAGCGGAGCACAUUCCUUUGCCUCCAGACCCGUACUUUAUGGACAUCGAGGUGGAUGUGCUACACGAUAGUCCAGUGCAUGGAGAUCAUCCCGCAGCUCCUGCAUCUCCUGCCGCUCAUAUUACACCGGCUCCUGCCGCUCAUAUUCCACCGGCCCCUGCCGCACCUAUUCCAGCAGCACAACCUCAACCAGCGCCAACCGAUCCAGCUAUGAUAGCACUUCUGGAACUGAUGGCUGAGAUGGUGAAUUUGCAAUAUCAAGCAGUGAAUGAACAGCGAGAAGCACAGCGUGCUCAGCCAGCUCCAGUACCUACCACUUAUCACCCGGACUUCCUGAAGAUAGUCAUGAUAAUGAAGAACUUGGGGACGAAGCAUUACCAGGGAGGCACUGAUACCUUUAAAGCUGAUGUGUGGCUUCACAAUCUCGAGCAGAACUUUGCUGCAACCCGUUGUCCGGAAGAAUUUAAAAAAGACGUGGCUGUUUACUAUCUAGAGAAGGACGCCAUCAGUUGGUGGUUAUGCGUAGAGAGGAAAUUUGGAGACUUCAAUCUGAGUUGGGCUGACUUCCGUACAGCGUUCGUUCGAAAGUACUUCCCACCGGAAGCCCGUGAUCGAUUGGAAAUUAAAUUCAUGGAGCUAGUUCAGGGAGGAUUAUCUUUUAGGAAGUAUGAGGCAGAGUUCACCCGUCUCAGGAAGUAUGUCCACUAUGGUCAAGAGGACGAGAUGAUGAUUAUCCAUAAGUUCCUUCGAGGACUUAACCCAUAUAUUAGGAGCAGACUUGAGGCAGUAGAGUUUCAUCGGCUUGCUGAUCUUGUUGAGCGUGCUGUGAACGUUGAGGAGGCCAUUGCUGCUGAGAGAGCUUCUUCUAGCAAUGCCACACAACCUAGA